RNAcentral lists this ribosomal RNA (328 nucleotides) under uncultured eukaryote. RNAcentral's name for it is "partial 18S ribosomal RNA". It matches the Rfam family "Eukaryotic small subunit ribosomal RNA", at positions 1470 to 1796 of the family's 1831-position model. The record is from RNAcentral.
CCCUUAGAUGUUCGGGGCUGCACGCGCGCUACACUGAAGGAAUCAGCGUGCUAAAACCAUUGUCGAAAGGCAUUGGUAAACCCAUUAAAAUCCUACGUGAUUGGGAUCGGGAAUUGCAAUUAUUUCCCUUGAACGAGGAAUUCCCAGUAAGUGUGGGUCAUAAGCUCGCGUUGAUUACGUCCCUGCCCUUUGUACACACCGCCCGUCGCUGCCCGGGACUGAGCCGUUUCGAGAAAAGCGGGGACUGCUGCUGUCGGGGCUUUCGGGCCUUGGCUUCGGUGGAAACCGCUUUAAUCGCANUNGCUUGANCCGGGCAAAANUCGUANCA